GCUUCCUUCCUGUCCAAUUGUGUGAUUGUGAGAAACAGCUGCAGUGAUUUCUUUUCUUAUGUGGAGUGAGGAACAGCCGCAAUAUUGCUGCACCGAUUUCAUCCAGUACAGGGGAAGUACAUUUCCAAGGGAAACUUACUACAUACAAUACUAAAUGAAGAGGACAGUAUCCAGAUUGGUUGGUGAAGUCAUUGUUUUGACUAAGCCUAUUGGCUUGACGGUUUGAUGUAAGAGCUUUAAACUGGAAACAUUAUCCAAAAGAACUUUAUCAUGCUACUCUGUCCGUAUCAAACAGAUGCCUUCUGUCUAUGCUUAUUUACCUCUCCUGCUAAGUGUCAUGCCAUCUUAUUUGAAGAAAACAAACUGUACUGAGUGCUGUUAAACAAAGACAUCUUUUUACUAGAACACCUGCACAGACGGGUCAACUGGGGAAUUUCCAUCUCAAAUCAUCUUGCUAUUUUGGAGAGAAAUGCAUUUAACUCAACAUUUCUGCGCCAAGUGGUUUACUUGUUCAAUGCAGUGAGCUGUAUAUCAUUUUAAUUUAUAUAUUCACAUCUGCAUUCUGUUUAACAAUUUUGUACUAUCUGUAAAAACUGAAGCAGGUUAACAGACUGUACAACAAAAUUCUGGAUUAUAGCAGUACUGCAUUUUUUAAAUUUUUUUGUACUUAGCACAGCCUGCAAUAUUCCAUAAAAUUAUUAUAUGUUGAAGAGAUGUGAAAAUGUAUAAAGCAUGCUGUGUCUGUGCAUUUUGUAUAACAAUACA
Molecule: long non-coding RNA, 765 nt
Organism: Protopterus annectens (West African lungfish)
Lineage: Eukaryota; Metazoa; Chordata; Ceratodontiformes; Protopteridae
Exons: 3
Source: RefSeq, a predicted model, not a curated record